CGAACGCUGGCGGCGUGCUUAACACAUGCAAGUCGAACGGUGAAGCUCCAGCUUGCUGGAGUGGAUCAGUGGCGAACGGGUGAGUAACACGUGAGCAACCUGCCCCUGACCCUGGAAUAAGCGCUGGAAACGGCGUCUAAUACUGGAUACGAGAAGGGUCCGCAUGGGCACUUUCUGGAAAGUUUUUCGGUUGGGGAUGGGCUCGCGGCCUAUCAGCUUGUUGGUGAGGUAAUGGCUCACCAAGGCGACGACGGGUAGCCGGCCUGAGAGGGCGACCGGCCACACUGGGACUGAGACACGGCCCAGACUCCUACGGGAGGCAGCAGUGGGGAAUAUUGCACAAUGGGCGAAAGCCUGAUGCAGCGACGCCGCGUGAGGGAUGACGGCCUUCGGGUUGUAAACCUCUUUCAGCAGGGAAGAAGCGAAAGUGACGGUACCUGCAGAAGAAGCACCGGCUAACUACGUG
RNAcentral lists this ribosomal RNA (466 nucleotides) under uncultured bacterium. RNAcentral's name for it is "partial 16S ribosomal RNA". It matches the Rfam family "Bacterial small subunit ribosomal RNA", at positions 30 to 507 of the family's 1533-position model. The record is from RNAcentral.